This 466-nucleotide ribosomal RNA is filed under the name uncultured bacterium. Its description in RNAcentral is "partial 16S ribosomal RNA". It matches the Rfam family "Bacterial small subunit ribosomal RNA", at positions 28 to 507 of the family's 1533-position model. The record is from RNAcentral.
GAUGAACGCUGGCGGCGUGCUUAACACAUGCAAGUCGAACGGAAAGGCUCCUGCUUGCAGGGGUACUCGAGUGGCGAACGGGUGAGUAACACGUGGGUGAUCUGCCCUGCACUUCGGGAUAAGCCUGGGAAACUGGGUCUAAUACCGGAUAGGACGAUGGUUUGGAUGCCAUUGUGGAAAGUUUUUCGGUGUGGGAUGAGCUCGCGGCCUAUCAGCUUGUUGGUGGGGUAAUGGCCUACCAAGGCGUCGACGGGUAGCCGGCCUGAGAGGGUGUACGGCCACAUUGGGACUGAGAUACGGCCCAGACUCCUACGGGAGGCAGCAGUGGGGAAUAUUGCACAAGGGGCGCAAGCCUGAUGCAGCGACGCCGCGGGGGGGAUGACGGCCUUCGGGUUGUAAACUCCUUUCGCUAGGGACGAAGCGUUUUGUGACGGUACCUGGAGAAGAAGCACCGGCUAACUACGUG